UUACAUAUGGAAAUCUCUUCCCCUGGUACCUCGGUGUAUGGGCACAGUACCUCCAUAACACCUUUCAUUAAUAGAGGUGUUCUCAGGGCUGCCAACCUAACAGUACAGGUUGUCAUAGUAUAUCUCUCCUGUAUUU
This is a small nucleolar RNA of Octodon degus (degu), 136 nucleotides long. RefSeq annotates it as small nucleolar RNA U109. The record is from RefSeq and is a predicted model, not a curated record. The transcript has a single exon. NCBI's taxonomy places the organism in Eukaryota, Metazoa, Chordata, Mammalia, Rodentia, Octodontidae.